This 1196-nucleotide long non-coding RNA is filed under the name Calidris pugnax (ruff). Its description in RNAcentral is "lncRNA (ENSCPUG00000016209.1)". The record is from RNAcentral. Lineage: Eukaryota; Metazoa; Chordata; Aves; Charadriiformes; Scolopacidae.
CAAUAGACAAUCUCUUUCCGUUUUCAAUGCCCCAAUCACCAUCUUAUUAAUGUACUAAUUGACCGCAGUUUUCAGUUGCUGGGUAUUCCUUAAUGCUACAGUUUAUAGUGGAUGUUGUGCUUUGCAAGUGAUGCUCCCUCUUGAUCCGGUUUUAUUUUCCUCUUUUCUUUUUUUAGGCCAAGCAGCUGGAAGAGAAAGACAGGGAGCUGAAGAAGCACGAUGCCUACUACAAAGAGCAGCUGGCUCGGCUGGAGGAGAGGAGUGCCCAGUUCUACAAAGUCACCACGGAGCAAUACCAAAAAGCUGCCGAUGAAGUGUCAUCUCGGUUCAAACGAUACGAGUCUCAUCCAAUCUGCGGUGACCUGCAGGAGAAAAUUCUACAGUGUUACCGGCAACACGCUCAGGAGACCCUCAGCUGCUCUGCCCUGGCUAACCAGUACCUGCACUGUGUCAACCAUGCCAAACAGCAGAGCAUGCUUGGGAGAGGAGGAUAAAGGCAUUGUCCAAAUCAAGCACAAGACCAUCAACUCUAAUUUCAGCAGAAGAGCAUUUUUUUUUUUUCCCCCCAAGAAUGAUAUGACAGCCCAUUUACAGGGCAGACCAAUAAAGAGAAGAACUGGAAGAGCCAUUUCAAGAGCAGCAGCCAUCACAGCUCAAUCAGUGUGACCAUUUGAAAAGCCAAGACCUGUAUCUUAUUACAUCAGAAAUCACACGCCCGAAGAUACUGUUCAGUCGUAGUAAAAUCCACUUAUUGGUGAUUGAAGGAAGGAAAAGAAAAGAACCUUUCACUGACCUCAGAAAGGGGAAAUAUCCUUCAAAUGCUGCUAUUUUAUUGUAGAAUCUCCUCAAAAAAAUACUUCUCCCUGUCCAAGGCGCGGGUGUGUAACACUUGGUGUGCCGGGACGUCAGCCGAUGCUCCUCACUCUGCAGCCUGUAUCCAUAUUGGAAGUUUUCCCUACAGUGUAUAAAUGACGUAAAUUGUGCUUUAAUUUAUAUCACAAAUUAUGUAACUUCAUGAAGUCUCUCUCCAGGCCUUCUGCUGGAAUGAUGUUAAUGAUCCAACACUUCAGAUGUAACAUGGCCUUUAUUUACGGGAAACGAUUCUGUUGUGCUCCUCACUCCUACCAAGUACUGACGAACAUGCCUCUCUCUGUACCAACAAUAAAUGUAUUUUAUGCACAAGAUUGAUGUUUCCG